UUAAGUUAUUAAGGGCGCACGGUGGAUGCCUUGGCACUAGAAGCCGAUGAAGGACGUUACUAACGACGAUAUGCUUUGGGGAGCUGUAAGUAAGCUUUGAUCCAGAGAUUUCCGAAUGGGGAAACCCAGCAUGAGUUAUGUCAUGUUAUCGAUAUGUGAAUACAUAGCAUAUCAGAAGGCACACCCGGAGAACUGAAACAUCUUAGUACCCGGAGGAAGAGAAAGAAAAUUCGAUUCCCUUAGUAGCGGCGAGCGAAACGGGAAGAGCCCAAACCAAAAAGCUUGCUUGUUGGGGUUGUAGGACACUCUAUACGGAGUUACAAAGGACGACAUUAGACGAAUCAUCUGGAAAGAUGAAUCAAAGAAGGUAAUAAUCCUGUAGUCGAAAAUGUUGUCUCUCUUGAGUGGAUCCUGAGUACGACGGAGCACGUGAAAUUCCGUCGGAAUCUGGGAGGACCAUCUCCUAAGGCUAAAUACUCUCUAGUGACCGAUAGUGAACCAGUACCGUGAGGGAAAGGUGAAAAGCACCCCGGAAGGGGAGUGAAAUAGAACCUGAAACCGUGUGCUUACAAGUAGUCAGAGCCCGUUAAUGGGUGAUGGCGUGCCUUUUGUAGAAUGAACCGGCGAGUUACGAUUUGAUGCAAGGUUAAGCAGUAAAUGUGGAGCCGUAGCGAAAGCGAGUCUGAAUAGGGCGUUUAGUAUUUGGUCGUAGACCCGAAACCAGGUGAUCUACCCUUGGUCAGGUUGAAGUUCAGGUAACACUGAAUGGAGGACCGAACCGACUUACGUUGAAAAGUGAGCGGAUGAACUGAGGGUAGCGGAGAAAUUCCAAUCGAACCUGGAGAUAGCUGGUUCUCUCCGAAAUAGCUUUAGGGCUAGCCUCAAGUGAUGAUUAUUGGAGGUAGAGCACUGUUUGGACGAGGGGCCCCUCUCGGGUUACCGAAUUCAGACAAACUCCGAAUGCCAAUUAAUUUAACUUGGGAGUCAGAACAUGGGUGAUAAGGUCCGUGUUCGAAAGGGAAACAGCCCAGACCACCAGCUAAGGUCCCAAAAUAUAUGUUAAGUGGAAAAGGAUGUGGCGUUGCCCAGACAACUAGGAUGUUGGCUUAGAAGCAGCCAUCAUUUAAAGAGUGCGUAAUAGCUCACUAGUCGAGUGACACUGCGCCGAAAAUGUACCGGGGCUAAACAUAUUACCGAAGCUGUGGAUUGUCCUUUGGACAAUGGUAGGAGAGCGUUCUAAGGGCGUUGAAGCAUGAUCGUAAGGACAUGUGGAGCGCUUAGAAGUGAGAAUGCCGGUGUGAGUAGCGAAAGACGGGUGAGAAUCCCGUCCACCGAUUGACUAAGGUUUCCAGAGGAAGGCUGGUCCGCUCUGGGUUAGUCGGGUCCUAAGCUGAGGCCGACAGGCGUAGGCGAUGGAUAACAGGUUGAUAUUCCUGUACCACCUAUAAUCGUUUUAAUCGAUGGGGGGACGCAGUAGGAUAGGCGAAGCGUGCGAUUGGAUUGCACGUCUAAGCAGUAAGGCUGAGUAUUAGGCAAAUCCGGUACUCGUUAAGGCUGAGCUGUGAUGGGGAGAAGACAUUGUGUCUUCGAGUCGUUGAUUUCACACUGCCGAGAAAAGCCUCUAGAUAGAAAAUAGGUGCCCGUACCGCAAACCGACACAGGUAGUCAAGAUGAGAAUUCUAAGGUGAGCGAGCGAACUCUCGUUAAGGAACUCGGCAAAAUGACCCCGUAACUUCGGGAGAAGGGGUGCUCUUUAGGGUUAACGCCCAGAAGAGCCGCAGUGAAUAGGCCCAAGCGACUGUUUAUCAAAAACACAGGUCUCUGCUAAACCGUAAGGUGAUGUAUAGGGGCUGACGCCUGCCCGGUGCUGGAAGGUUAAGAGGAGUGGUUAGCUUCUGCGAAGCUACGAAUCGAAGCCCCAGUAAACGGCGGCCGUAACUAUAACGGUCCUAAGGUAGCGAAAUUCCUUGUCGGGUAAGUUCCGACCCGCACGAAAGGCGUAACGAUUUGGGCACUGUCUCAACGAGAGACUCGGUGAAAUCAUAGUACCUGUGAAGAUGCAGGUUACCCGCGACAGGACGGAAAGACCCCGUGGAGCUUUACUGUAGCCUGAUAUUGAAAUUCGGCACAGCUUGUACAGGAUAGGUAGGAGCCUUUGAAACGUGAGCGCUAGCUUACGUGGAGGCGCUGGUGGGAUACUACCCUAGCUGUGUUGGCUUUCUAACCCGCACCACUUAUCGUGGUGGGAGACAGUGUCAGGCGGGCAGUUUGACUGGGGCGGUCGCCUCCUAAAAGGUAACGGAGGCGCUCAAAGGUUCCCUCAGAAUGGUUGGAAAUCAUUCAUAGAGUGUAAAGGCAUAAGGGAGCUUGACUGCGAGACCUACAAGUCGAGCAGGGUCGAAAGACGGACUUAGUGAUCCGGUGGUUCCGCAUGGAAGGGCCAUCGCUCAACGGAUAAAAGCUACCCCGGGGAUAACAGGCUUAUCUCCCCCAAGAGUUCACAUCGACGGGGAGGUUUGGCACCUCGAUGUCGGCUCAUCGCAUCCUGGGGCUGUAGUCGGUCCCAAGGGUUGGGCUGUUCGCCCAUUAAAGCGGUACGCGAGCUGGGUUCAGAACGUCGUGAGACAGUUCGGUCCCUAUCCGUCGUGGGCGUAGGAAAUUUGAGAGGAGCUGUCCUUAGUACGAGAGGACCGGGAUGGACAUACCUCUGGUGUACCAGUUGUCGUGCCAACGGCAUAGCUGGGUAGCUAUGUGUGGACGGGAUAAGUGCUGAAAGCAUCUAAGCAUGAAGCCCCCCUCAAGAUGAGAUUUCCCAACUUCGGUUAUAAGAUCCCUCAAAGAUGAUGAGGUUAAUAGGUUCGAGGUGGAAGCAUGGUGACAUGUGGAGCUGACGAAUACUAAUCGAUCGAAGACUUAAUCAA
Molecule: ribosomal RNA, 2921 nt
Filed under: Staphylococcus aureus T79159
Lineage: Bacteria; Bacillati; Bacillota; Bacilli; Caryophanales; Staphylococcaceae
Description: bacterial LSU rRNA
Rfam family: Bacterial large subunit ribosomal RNA
Source: RNAcentral